GCCUGUUAGCAGAGGUAGCUGGCGUCAGUCUCAUAAUCUGAAGGUCAUGAGUUCGAUCCUCACACGGGGCA
Molecule: transfer RNA, 71 nt
Filed under: Pangasianodon hypophthalmus (striped catfish)
Lineage: Eukaryota; Metazoa; Chordata; Actinopteri; Siluriformes; Pangasiidae
Description: tRNA-Met
Source: RNAcentral